GGUGAGAUGGCCGAGCGGUCUAAGGCGCCAGACUAAGGAUUAGAUGCGCACUGAAAUCUGGUCACAUUGUGGCGUGGGUUCGAAUCCCACUCUCAUCA
Molecule: transfer RNA, 98 nt
Filed under: Lentinula aciculospora
Lineage: Eukaryota; Fungi; Basidiomycota; Agaricomycetes; Agaricales; Omphalotaceae
Rfam family: tRNA
About the family: Transfer RNA (tRNA) molecules are approximately 80 nucleotides in length. Their secondary structure includes four short double-helical elements and three loops (D, anti-codon, and T loops).
Source: Rfam by way of RNAcentral